Molecule: ribosomal RNA, 666 nt
Filed under: uncultured bacterium
Lineage: Bacteria
Description: bacterial SSU rRNA
Rfam family: Bacterial small subunit ribosomal RNA
Source: RNAcentral
CUCAGCAUUACCGCGUGUGUGAAGAAGGCCUGAGGGUUGUAAAGCACUUCAAUAGGAAGGAAUACCUAUCGGUUAAUACCCGGUAGACUGACAUUACCUAUACAAGAAGCACCGGCUAACUCCGUGCCAGCAGCCGCGGUAAUACGGAAGGUGCAAGCGUUAAUCGGAAUUACUGGGCGUAAAGCGUGCGUAGGCGGUUAUUUAAGUCAAUGUGAAAGCCCUGGGCUUAACCUGGGAACUGCAUUUGAUACUGGAUGACUAGAGUUGAGUAGAGGAGAGUGGAAUUUCAGGUGUAGCGGUGAAAUGCGUAGAGAUCUGAAGGAACACCAGUGGCGAAGGCGGCUCUCUGGACUCAAACUGACGCUGAGGUACGAAAGCGUGGGUAGCAAACAGGAUUAGAUACCCUGGUAGUCCACGCCGUAAACGAUGUCAACUAACCGUUGGGUUCUUUAAGAACUUAGUGGUGGAGCUAACGUAUUAAGUUGACCGCCUGGGGAGUACGGCCGCAAGGCUAAAACUCAAAUGAAUUGACGGGGGCCCGCACAAGCGGUGGAGCAUGUGGUUUAAUUCGAUGCAACGCGAAGAACCUUACCUACCCUUGACAUCCAGAGAAUCUGUUAGAGAUAGUAGAGUGCCUUCGGGAACUCUGAGACAGGUGCUGCAUGG